CCUACGGGGGGCAGCAGUGAGGAAUAUUGGUCAAUGGGCGGGAGCCUGAACCAGCCAAGCCGCGUGAGGGAAGAAGGUACAGCGUAUCGUAAACCUCUUUUGUCAGGGAACAAAGGCGGGGACUAGUCCCCGGAUGAGGGUACCUGAAGAAAAAGCAUCGGCUAACUCCGUGCCAGCAGCCGCGGUAAUACGGAGGAUGCGAGCGUUAUCCGGAUUUACUGGGUGUAAAGGGAGCGCAGGCGGCCUGCCAAGUCUGGUGUGAAAACCCGGGGCCCAACCCCGGGCCUGCAUUGGAAACUGGCGGG
This 305-nucleotide ribosomal RNA is filed under the name uncultured bacterium. RNAcentral describes it as "bacterial SSU rRNA". It matches the Rfam family "Bacterial small subunit ribosomal RNA", at positions 338 to 640 of the family's 1533-position model. The record is from RNAcentral.